RNAcentral lists this unclassified non-coding RNA (461 nucleotides) under Hevea brasiliensis (rubber tree). Lineage: Eukaryota; Viridiplantae; Streptophyta; Magnoliopsida; Malpighiales; Euphorbiaceae. The record is from RNAcentral.
AUUUACCAUUUAGCACCACUCUCCUCCUCCACCACCACCUACGCCAUCACCACCUCAUAAAAAAUGCUUACUCCUAGACAAAAACAACGAAAGGUGGUUGAUGCAUGAGACUCCUCAAUACAUAUCCCUUCCUCUCUCUCUCUUUUUUCUUUCCUUUGACUAUUCUUUUCUUUCACCACCUUCCUCUCCUAAAAUCCCAUAACCCCUUUUCUCUCUCUUAACAGAUUUUUCUGUUUCUUUCCUCGGUUUGUUCGCUUUCUCAACUACCAUCACCUCCUCCUUCAAGUUGCGACUGAUCUUGCCUCCUGUGAUCCAAGGAGCAAGGUGAUCAAUGCUAAAGGCCGGUGUCUAAGCCAUUGUGGACUGAGACGAAGAUUAUAAUCCACUAUGGUUAGCUUAAGAAGGCGUAAACUCUUGGGACUAUGUGCUGGAAGAAGUUCUUUCUUGACUCCACUUCCUCG